AAAGUCGUAACAAGGUCUCCGUUGGUGAACCAGCGGAGGGAUCAUUAAAGAGUUCACUACUCUCCCGACCACCGAGAACCGCCCGAGGAACGACUGUUGCCUCGGCGGGAGGCUCCUAGGAGGUGCCGCUGCCCGCGAGGGCGCCCGCCGGGGACGACGCAGACUCUUGUUUUGUAGGCCUCUCUGAGCAAAAACGCAAUAGUUAAAACUUUCAACAACGGAUCUCUUGGCUCUG
This 235-nucleotide unclassified non-coding RNA is filed under the name Ascomycota sp. Its description in RNAcentral is "partial contains small subunit ribosomal RNA, internal transcribed spacer 1, and 5.8S ribosomal RNA". The stretch from base 1 to 47 matches the Rfam family "Eukaryotic small subunit ribosomal RNA", at positions 1785 to 1831 of the family's 1831-position model. The record is from RNAcentral. Lineage: Eukaryota; Fungi; Ascomycota.